GACGAACGCUGGCGGCGUGCUUAACACAUGCAAGUCGAACGGAAAGGCCCUGCUUUUGUUGGGUGCUCGAGUGGCGAACGGGUGAGUAACACGUGAGUAACCUGCCCUUGACUUUGGGAUAACUUCAGGAAACUGGGGCUAAUACCGGAUAGGAGCUCCUGCUGCAUGGUGGGGGUUGGAAAGUUUCGGCGGUUGGGGAUGGACUCGCGGCUUAUCAGCUUGUUGGUGGGGUAGUGGCUUACCAAGGCUUUUACGGGUAGCCGGCCUGAGAGGGUGACCGGCCACAUUGGGACUGAGAUACGGCCCAGACUCCUACGGGAGGCAGCAGUGGGGAAUAUUGCACAAUGGGCGGAAGCCUGAUGCAGCAACGCCGCGUGCGGGAUGACGGCCUUCGGGUUGUAAACCGCUUUCGCCUGUGACGAAGCGUGAGUGACGGUAAUGGGUAAAGAAGCACCGGCUAACUACGUG
Molecule: ribosomal RNA, 468 nt
Filed under: uncultured bacterium
Lineage: Bacteria
Description: partial 16S ribosomal RNA
Rfam family: Bacterial small subunit ribosomal RNA
Source: RNAcentral